RNAcentral lists this ribosomal RNA (253 nucleotides) under uncultured bacterium. RNAcentral's name for it is "partial 16S ribosomal RNA". It matches the Rfam family "Bacterial small subunit ribosomal RNA", at positions 524 to 776 of the family's 1533-position model. The record is from RNAcentral.
UACGUAGGGGGCUAGCGUUGUCCGGAUUUAUUGGGCGUAAAGAGCGUGUAGGCGGCCAGAUAGGUCCGUUGUGAAAACUGGAGGCUUAACCUCCAGCUGUCGAUGGAAACCAUCUGGCUAGAGUCCGGAAGAGGAGAGUGGAAUUCCUGGUGUAGCGGUGAAAUGCGCAGAUAUCAGGAAGAACACCAGUGGCGAAGGCGGCGACCUGGACGGACACUGACGCUGAGACGCGAAAGCGUGGGGAGCAAACAGG